Molecule: long non-coding RNA, 656 nt
Filed under: Brachypodium distachyon (stiff brome)
Lineage: Eukaryota; Viridiplantae; Streptophyta; Magnoliopsida; Poales; Poaceae
Description: long non-coding RNA (BDIS_LNC005263)
Source: RNAcentral
AUCAUCUUUUGGUUAAGAGAAGAUAUACAAAAUUAUUCCAUUGUAGCAUUGUUAAGAAAAGUCUUGCGUCACCCUAUUGUAUUGUGUAUAACAUAAUCUUGUUUGCCCUUUCCCUAUUUUAUUAUUUGGCCAACCAACGUUUUUUUGUAUUUAUGUAUAUUUUUCCACAAUAGGUUGUAAAGUCUAGCGGAGCAGAACUCAUUCAAACAAUGACCUGUUUGUUAAUCUUUUUUCUAAAUUUUUUUUCUAAAACUUGAAAACCAUCCUCGUUUGCAAUGUGCAACUUUUUUCGGUCUGAGUUUCGUCGUCAAUAUAUUUGGGAGGAACACCAAGUACAAACAUGCAUACAGACGACGCCAGACGCACACGAUAUACAUGCACUCACUUGGCAAUGCGCCCAUAGCUAGCAAUAUUCAAACAUGCAUGUGGCCGAGUGAAAAAGGAGAUACGUUGGACAUACAUGCAUGGCGGUGGAGAGAAGGAUGUCCAUUCGUUCAUACAUGGAUCAGAAUAAACUGAAAUAAACAUACGCGCGGGAUCUAUCCCUUGCGAUCUCUUUCGAGACGAACACGUAAACGGCGUACAUAUUUCUAUGUCGUUUUACAAAUUUGGAGGCCAAUAUUUGGCCUGUCUUGAUAUUUUUUGUUAUUUGGCUG